Molecule: ribosomal RNA, 532 nt
Filed under: uncultured Gammaproteobacteria bacterium
Lineage: Bacteria; Pseudomonadati; Pseudomonadota; Gammaproteobacteria
Description: bacterial SSU rRNA
Rfam family: Bacterial small subunit ribosomal RNA
Source: RNAcentral
CGCCCUUGAGUUUGAUCAUGGCUCAGAGUGAACGCUGGCGGUAGGCCUAACACAUCCUAGUCGAACGGCAGCACAGAGGAGCUUGCUCCUUGGGUCGUGAGUGGCGGACGGGUGAGGAAUACAUCGGAAUCUACUCUGUCGUGGGGGAUAACGUAGGGAAACUUACGCUAAUACCGCAUACGACCUACGGGUGAAAGCAGGGGAUCUUCGGACCUUGCGCGAUUGAAUGAGCCGAUGUCGGAUUAGCUAGUUGGCGGGGUAAAGGCCCACCAAGGCGACGAUCCGUAGCUGGUCUGAGAGGAUGAUCAGCCACACUGGAACUGAGACACGGUCCAGACUCCUACGGGAGGCAGCAGUGGGGAAUAUUGGACAAUGGGCGCAAGCCUGAUCCAGCCAUUUUUUUUGGGUGAAGAAGGCCUUCGGGUUGUAAAGCCCUUUUGUUGGGAAAGAAAUCCAGCUGGCUAAUACCCGGUUGGGAUGACGGUACCCAAAGAAUAAGCACCGGCUAACUUCGUGCCAGCAGCCGCGGUAA